GGCACAAGCGGUGGGAGUAUGUGGUUUAAUUCGAUGCAACGCGAAGAACCUUACCUGGUCUUGACAUCCCGGAGACCCUUAGGAAACUAGGGGGUGGCUUCCAUCUGGAAGAAUCUGGAGACAGGUGCUGCAUGGCUGUCGUCAGCUCGUGUCGUGAGAUGUUGGGUUAAGUCCCGCAACGAGCGCAACCCUUGCCUUUAGUUGCCAGCAGUUCGGCUGGGCACUCUAAAGGGACUGCCGGUGUUAAACCGGAGGAAGGUGGGGAUGACGUCAAGUCCUCAUGGCCUUUAUGACCAGGGCUACACACGUACUACAAUGGCCGAUACAAAGGGCAGCGACACUGCGAGGUGAAGCCAAUCCCGUAAAAUCGGUCUCAGUCCGGAUUGGAGUCUGCAACUCGACUCCAUGAAGUUGGAAUCGCUAGUAAUCGUGGAUCAGCAUGCCACGGUGAAUACGUUCCCGGGCCUU
This 468-nucleotide ribosomal RNA is filed under the name uncultured Desulfobulbus sp. Its description in RNAcentral is "bacterial SSU rRNA". It matches the Rfam family "Bacterial small subunit ribosomal RNA", at positions 922 to 1382 of the family's 1533-position model. The record is from RNAcentral. Lineage: Bacteria; Pseudomonadati; Thermodesulfobacteriota; Desulfobulbia; Desulfobulbales; Desulfobulbaceae.